Molecule: ribosomal RNA, 1730 nt
Filed under: Klebsiella pneumoniae
Lineage: Bacteria; Pseudomonadati; Pseudomonadota; Gammaproteobacteria; Enterobacterales; Enterobacteriaceae
Description: partial 23S ribosomal RNA
Rfam family: Bacterial large subunit ribosomal RNA
Source: RNAcentral
GGGUUGUGAGGUUAAGCGACUAAGCGUACACGGUGGAUGCCCUGGCAGUCAGAGGCGAUGAAGGACGUGCUAAUCUGCGAAAAGCGUCGGUAAGGUGAUAUGAACCGUUAUAACCGGCGAUGUCCGAAUGGGGAAACCCAGUGCAAUUCGUUGCACUAUCGUUAACUGAAUACAUAGGUUAACGAGGCGAACCGGGGGAACUGAAACAUCUAAGUACCCCGAGGAAAAGAAAUCAACCGAGAUUCCCCCAGUAGCGGCGAGCGAACGGGGAGCAGCCCAGAGUCUGAAUCAGCUUGUGUGUUAGUGGAACGGUCUGGAAAGUCCGACGGUACAGGGUGAUAGUCCCGUACACCAAAAUGCACAGGCUGUGAACUCGAAGAGUAGGGCGGGACACGUGGUAUCCUGUCUGAAUAUGGGGGGACCAUCCUCCAAGGCUAAAUACUCCUGACUGACCGAUAGUGAACCAGUACCGUGAGGGAAAGGCGAAAAGAACCCCGGCGAGGGGAGUGAAAAAGAACCUGAAACCGUGUACGUACAAGCAGUGGGAGCACCUUCGGGUGUGACUGCGUACCUUUUGUAUAAUGGGUCAGCGACUUAUAUUCUGUAGCAAGGUUAACCGUAUAGGGGAGCCGCAGGGAAACCGAGUCUUAACUGGGCGUUAAGUUGCAGGGUAUAGACCCGAAACCCGGUGAUCUAGCCAUGGGCAGGUUGAAGGUUGGGUAACACUAACUGGAGGACCGAACCGACUAAUGUUGAAAAAUUAGCGGAUGACUUGUGGCUGGGGGUGAAAGGCCAAUCAAACCGGGAGAUAGCUGGUUCUCCCCGAAAGCUAUUUAGGUAGCGCCUCGUGAACUCAUCUUCGGGGGUAGAGCACUGUUUCGGCUAGGGGGUCAUCCCGACUUACCAACCCGAUGCAAACUACGAAUACCGAAGAAUGUUAUCACGGGAGACACACGGCGGGUGCUAACGUCCGUCGUGAAGAGGGAAACAACCCAGACCGCCAGCUAAGGUCCCAAAGUCAUGGUUAAGUGGGAAACGAUGUGGGAAGGCACAGACAGCCAGGAUGUUGGCUUAGAAGCAGCCAUCAUUUAAAGAAAGCGUAAUAGCUCACUGGUCGAGUCGGCCUGCGCGGAAGAUGUAACGGGGCUAAACCAUGCACCGAAGCUGCGGCAGCGACACUAUGUGUUGUUGGGUAGGGGAGCGUUCUGUAAGCCUGCGAAGGUGUGCUGUGAGGCAUGCUGGAGGUAUCAGAAGUGCGAAUGCUGACAUAAGUAACGAUAAAGCGGGUGAAAAGCCCGCUCGCCGGAAGACCAAGGGUUCCUGUCCAACGUUAAUCGGGGCAGGGUGAGUCGACCCCUAAGGCGAGGCCGAAAGGCGUAGUCGAUGGGAAACAGGUUAAUAUUCCUGUACUUGGUGUUACUGCGAAGGGGGGACGGAGAAGGCUAUGUUAGCCGGGCGACGGUUGUCCCGGUUUAAGCAUGUAGGCUGGUUAUCCAGGCAAAUCCGGAUAAUCAAGGCUGAGGUGUGAUGACGAGGCACUACGGUGCUGAAGUAACAAAUGCCCUGCUUCCAGGAAAAGCCUCUAAGCAUCAGGUAACAUCAAAUCGUACCCCAAACCGACACAGGUGGUCAGGUAGAGAAUACCAAGGCGCUUGAGAGAACUCGGGUGAAGGAACUAGGCAAAAUGGUGCCGUAACUUCGGGAGAAGGCACGCUGGUGUGUAGGUGAAG